GUGGCCUCCAGUUCCACCCAUGUUCCUACUGAGGGCAUGAUUUUGUUUCUGUGUUUGAUUUUCCUUAGUGGUUUUUUCAGCAUUCUGUGAUGUAUAGGUACCACAUUUUAAAAAAUCCAAUUUUCUGUUGGUGGGCAUCUAGGUCAGUUCCACAUCUUUAUUCCUGUCAGUAACACUCCCGUGGACAUGUGAGUGUCUGUGUCCUUUUGAUAGAUGCAUGUGUUUUUCCUUGGGGUAGACGCACCGGGUGGGAUUGCUGCGUCAAAGCGUAGCUCUGCUUUCUGUCCUUUUUUUUUUCCAGAAAUCUUCAGACUGAUUUCCACAGUUUGAGAUCUAGUUUGCAUUACCUCCAAGAGAAUAGCCAUGUUUGCUUUUCUCUGCUGCCACACCAGCAUGUUAUGUUUUGACUUAGGACAAAUGGCCACUCUGACCAGCGUGUGAUGGCACCGGUACCUCAUCUCUGAUGAUUGGUGAUGUUGAGCAUUCCCCACGCCUGUUGGAAUGGCAAUCCCUUGGAAAUGUCUUCUCAAUAGUUACUACCCAUAGAGAACAGACCCUCCCAGUCUUCAGUGCACUCUAAAUACUGGCUAAUUCUGGCCAAUGGAAGGCAUCUGUGGAAGAAAAAAGCCUCAGAUCAUGUGCUGUCUGUCUUUAUUCAGUGUGACAUAUUAGGUAAUGGUCACAGACACUCACCAUGGCCCCAGUUUUUAAUAACAUGACCCUGCUUUUGUGUUCCAGUAACUUCUGUUGUUUUCCCAAUCCUAAGUAUGAUAGAAACUUCCUGCUGCUGCUAAUCUCUGGGUUCCAUUUAAAAUCCUUCCAUCACAUGAAUACUAUGCUGUGUUCUAAAUUUUUCCAUAAUUAAAUACUUACAAUUAUUUUUGCCUACUUCUUUUGCCCCUUAGUGAUAUGUUUUAAAAACACUUAUAAUGUGUCACAAUAUAUUUAGCAAAUGUAGGGAAUGACAUUUUUACUUUCGUCAGCAUUUACACUAGCAUUUAUGGAGCGAUGCUAUAUAAAGUAUUUUUAGUAAUUUAAACGUUAUAUAACAGAUAUCCGUUGAUUCCUUUGUUUCUACGUAAAUAAGUAUACUUGAGAUAUUCAGUAAACAGUAUUGAAUACAUGUUUCAUUUGUAUAAUAUAAAAUUAUGAUUAUUCUUUUUAAACAGUACAUCAUAUUUGCUUGUUGGCUUUAUGAUAACUUAGAAAUAAUAUUCUGGAUUAACUGUGUGACUCAUGAGAAGAUUUGUGCAACUAUGUUUCCAAAUUUACUUGAUUUUCAAGACUUACACUAGAACUGUGAGAACAGGGUAAUAAAUAAGCAUAUGUAUUAAUAUCACCUUUGGUCAACUCUUGGGUAGCCCCAACGGUAGUGUAGGAAUUAACGUAAUUUUUCCUACUAAAAGUAUUGGAUUUGUUUUGAGAGACCACAGUUGAAAAUCAUUGACAUACAAAGUUUAAAAAUUGUUAGGUUAAAAAAUUUUAAAUGCAUUUGAAGUGGUUUUAUAGAAAAAUAAUUAUCUAACUUGGUUUAUAUUGACAGGUUGUUUUCUUGGAUAAGAACUAGACGAAGAGAAAGGGAGAUUAGUGAUAAAUGUCCAGGUUUUCAAGUUGAAAAGUAACAAUCAGUGUAUUACAACAGAUGGAUGUGAUGUCAAAUUACAAAUGCUGAAAACGUUAUAUGUAAUCAUGUAGCCAGAGUAAUCAUACAAGGCAAAGAACGGAAAGGCAUCCAAAUAGGAAAGAGGCUGGAAUGCAGUGGCACCAUCUCAGCUCACUGCAACCUCCGCCUCUGGGUUCAAGUGCUGCUCCUGCCUCAGUCUC
Molecule: long non-coding RNA, 1824 nt
Filed under: Homo sapiens (human)
Lineage: Eukaryota; Metazoa; Chordata; Mammalia; Primates; Hominidae
Description: HSALNT0207602
Source: RNAcentral